RNAcentral lists this ribosomal RNA (403 nucleotides) under bacterium. RNAcentral describes it as "partial 16S ribosomal RNA". It matches the Rfam family "Bacterial small subunit ribosomal RNA", at positions 355 to 776 of the family's 1533-position model. The record is from RNAcentral.
UGGGGAAUAUUGCACAAUGGAGGGAACUCUGAUGCAGCGACGCCGCGUGAACGAAGAAGGCUUUCGAGUCGUAAAGUUCUUUUAUAUGGGAAGAUAAUGACGGUACCAUAAGAAAAAGCCCCGGCUAACUACGUGCCAGCAGCCGCGGUAAUACGUAGGGGGCUAGCGUUGUCCGGAAUCACUGGGCGUAAAGGGUUCGCAGGCGGAAAUGCAAGUCAGGUGUAAAAGGCAGUAGCUUAACUACUGUAAGCAUUUGAAACUGCAUAUCUUGAGAAGAGUAGAGGUAAGUGGAAUUUUUAGUGUAGCGGUGAAAUGCGUAGAUAUUAAAAAGAAUACCGGUGGCGAAGGCGAGUUACUGGGCUCAUUCUGACGCUGAGGAACGAAAGCGUGGGUAGCAAACAGG